UAACACGUAUCCAACCUGCCGUCUACUCUUGGACAGCCUUCUGAAAGGAAGAUUAAUACAAGAUGGCAUCAUGAGUCCGCAUGUUCACAUGAUUAAAGGUAUUCCGGUAGACGAUGGGGAUGCGUUCCAUUAGAUAGUAGGCGGGGUAACGGCCCACCUAGUCUUCGAUGGAUAGGGGUUCUGAGAGGAAGGUCCCCCACAUUGGAACUGAGACACGGUCCAAACUCCUACGGGAGGCAGCAGUGAGGAAUAUUGGUCAAUGGGCGAGAGCCUGAACCAGCCAAGUAGCGUGAAGGAUGACUGCCCUAUGGGUUGUAAACUUCUUUUAUAAAGGANUAUNNUCGGGUAUGGAUACCCGUUUGCAUGUACUUUAUGAAUAAGGAUCGGCUAACUCCGUGCCAGCAGCCGCGGUAAUACGGAGGAUCCGAGCGUUAUCCGGAUUUAUUGGGUUUAAAGGGAGCGUAGAUGGAUGUUUAAGUCAGUUGUGAAAGUUUGCGGCUCAACCGUAAAAUUGCAGUUGAUACUGGAUAUCUUGAGUGCAGUUGAGGCAGGCGGAAUUCGUGGUGUAGCGGUGAAAUGCUUAGAUAUCACGAAGAACUCCGAUUGCGAAGGCAGCCUGCUAAGCUGCAACUGACAUUGAGGCUCGAAAGUGUGGGUAUCAAACAGGAUUAGAUACCCUGGUAGUCCACACGGUAAACGAUGAAUACUCGCUGU
This 714-nucleotide ribosomal RNA is filed under the name uncultured bacterium. RNAcentral describes it as "bacterial SSU rRNA". It matches the Rfam family "Bacterial small subunit ribosomal RNA", at positions 111 to 823 of the family's 1533-position model. The record is from RNAcentral.